UGGGGAAUAUUGCACAAUGGGCGAAAGCCUGAUGCAGCGACGCCGCGUGAGGGAUGACGGCCUUCGGGUUGUAAACCUCUUUCAGCAGGGACGAAGCGCAAGUGACGGUACCUGCAGAAGAAGCACCGGCUAACUACGUGCCAGCAGCCGCGGUAAUACGUAGGGUGCAAGCGUUGUCCGGAAUUACUGGGCGUAAAGAAUUCGUAGGCGGUUUGUCGCGUCGUUUGUGAAAACCAGCAGCUCAACUGCUGGCUUGCAGGCGAUACGGGCAGACUUGAGUACUGCAGGGGAGACUGGAAUUCCUGGUGUAGCGGUGAAAUGCGCAGAUAUCAGGAGGAACACCGGUGGCGAAGGCGGGUCUCUGGGCAGUAACUGACGCUGAGGAACGAAAGCGUGGGUAGCGAACAGG
This 409-nucleotide ribosomal RNA is filed under the name bacterium. RNAcentral describes it as "partial 16S ribosomal RNA". It matches the Rfam family "Bacterial small subunit ribosomal RNA", at positions 355 to 776 of the family's 1533-position model. The record is from RNAcentral.